Molecule: ribosomal RNA, 429 nt
Filed under: Actinomycetes bacterium
Lineage: Bacteria; Bacillati; Actinomycetota; Actinomycetes
Description: Actinobacteria bacterium partial 16S ribosomal RNA
Rfam family: Bacterial small subunit ribosomal RNA
Source: RNAcentral
UAGGGAAUCUUCCGCAAUGGGCGAAAGCCUGACGGAGCAACGCCGCGUGAGUGAUGAAGGUCUUCGGAUCGUAAAACUCUGUUAUUAGGGUAGAACAAAUGUGUAAGUAACUAUGCACGUCUUGACGGUACCUAUUCAGAAAGCCACGGCUAACUACGUGCCAGCAGCCGCGGUAAUACGUAUGUGGCAAGCGUUAUCCGGAAUUAUUGUGCGUAAAGCGCGCGUAGGCGGUUUUUUAAGUUUGAUGUGAAAGCCCACGGCUCAACCGAGGAAGGUCAUUGUAAACUGCAAAACUUGAGUGCAGAAGAGGAAAGUGGAAUUCCAGGUGUAGCGGUGAAAUGCGCAGAGAUAUGGAGGAACUCCAGUGGCGAAGGCGACUUUCUGGUCUGUAACAGACGAUGAUGUGCGAAAGCGUGGGUAUCAAACAGG